RNAcentral lists this ribosomal RNA (235 nucleotides) under uncultured marine eukaryote. RNAcentral's name for it is "partial 18S ribosomal RNA". It matches the Rfam family "Eukaryotic small subunit ribosomal RNA", at positions 1205 to 1456 of the family's 1831-position model. The record is from RNAcentral.
ACGGGAAAACUUACCAGGUCCAGACAUAAUGAGGAUUGACAGAUUGAGAGCUCUUUCUUGAUUUUAUGGGUGGUGGUGCAUGGCCGUUCUUAGUUGGUGGAGUGAUUUGUCUGGUUAAUUCCGUUAACGAACGAGACCCCUGCCUGCUAAAUAGCCCAGUGAGUGAAUCUUCACUGACUGCUGGCUUCUUAGAGGGACGUGCAUUCUAUCAGAUGCAGGAAGAUAGGGGCAAUAA